AGCAGCGUGGCUCAGUGGAAAGAGCACAGGCUUUGGACUCAGAGGUCAUGGGUUCGAAUCCCAGCUCUGCCA
RNAcentral lists this transfer RNA (72 nucleotides) under Ornithorhynchus anatinus (platypus). It matches the Rfam family "tRNA". From Rfam's summary of the family: Transfer RNA (tRNA) molecules are approximately 80 nucleotides in length. Lineage: Eukaryota; Metazoa; Chordata; Mammalia; Monotremata; Ornithorhynchidae. The record is from Rfam by way of RNAcentral.